RNAcentral lists this ribosomal RNA (844 nucleotides) under Rhodotorula mucilaginosa. RNAcentral describes it as "LSU rRNA". It matches the Rfam family "Eukaryotic large subunit ribosomal RNA", at positions 81 to 945 of the family's 3401-position model. Lineage: Eukaryota; Fungi; Basidiomycota; Microbotryomycetes; Sporidiobolales; Sporidiobolaceae. The record is from RNAcentral.
UAGUAGCGGCGAGCGAAGCGGGAAGAGCUCAAAUUUAUAAUCUGGCACCUUCGGUGUCCGAGUUGUAAUCUCUAGAAAUGUUUUCCGCGUUGGACCGCACACAAGUCUGUUGGAAUACAGCGGCAUAGUGGUGAGACCCCCGUAUAUGGUGCGGACGCCCAGCGCUUUGUGAUACAUUUUCGAAGAGUCGAGUUGUUUGGGAAUGCAGCUCAAAUUGGGUGGUAAAUUCCAUCUAAAGCUAAAUAUUGGCGAGAGACCGAUAGCGAACAAGUACCGUGAGGGAAAGAUGAAAAGCACUUUGGAAAGAGAGUUAACAGUACGUGAAAUUGUUGGAAGGGAAACGCUUGAAGUCAGACUUGCUUGCCGAGCAAUCGGUUUGCAGGCCAGCAUCACUUUUCCGGGAUGGAUAAUGGUAGAGAGAAGGUAGCAGUUUCGGCUGUGUUAUAGCUCUCUGCUGGAUACAUCUUGGGGGACUGAGGAACGCAUUGUGCCUUUGGCGGGGGUUUCGACCUCUUCACACUUAGGAUGCUGGUGGAAUGGCUUUAAACGACCCGUCUUGAAACACGGACCAAGGAGUCUAACAUGCUUGCGAGUAUUUGGGUGUCAAACCCGGAUGCGUAAUGAAAGUGAAUGGAGGUGGGAACCGCAAGGUGCACCAUCGACCGAUCUGGAUUUUUAAUGAUGGAUUUGAGUAAGAGCACGUAUGUUGGGACCCGAAAGAUGGUGAACUAUGCCUGAAUAGGGCGAAUCCAGAGGAAACUCUUGUGGAGGCUCGUAGCGGUUCUGACGUGCAAAUCGAUCGUCAAAUUUGGGUAUAGGGGGCGAAAGACUAAUCGAACCAUCU